UACGGGGGGGAGCAAGCGUUGUUCGGAUUUACUGGGCGUAAAGGGCGCGUAGGCGGCCACUGCAAGUCGGUUGUGAAAUCUCCGGGCUUAACCCGGAAAGGUCAAUCGAUACUGCAGGGCUAGAGUGCAGAAGGGGCAACUGGAAUUCUCGGUGUAGCGGUGAAAUGCGUAGAUAUCGAGAGGAACACCUGCGGCGAAGGCGGGUUGCUGGGCUGACACGUGACGCUGAAGCGCGAAAGCUAGGGGAGCGAACGGG
RNAcentral lists this ribosomal RNA (256 nucleotides) under uncultured bacterium. RNAcentral describes it as "partial 16S ribosomal RNA". It matches the Rfam family "Bacterial small subunit ribosomal RNA", at positions 524 to 776 of the family's 1533-position model. The record is from RNAcentral.